UACGGAGGAUGUGAGCGUUAUCCGGAUUUAUUGGGUUUAAAGGGUGCGUAGGCGGAUCGUUAAGUCAGUGGUCAAAUUGAGGGGCUCAACCCCUUCCCGCCAUUGAAACUGGCGAUCUUGAGUGGAAGAGAAGUAUGCGGAAUGCGUGGUGUAGCGGUGAAAUGCAUAGAUAUCACGCAGAACCCCGAUUGCGAAGGCAGCAUGCCGGCUUCCUACUGACGCUGAAGCACGAAAGCGUGGGGAUCGAACAGG
Molecule: ribosomal RNA, 252 nt
Filed under: uncultured bacterium
Lineage: Bacteria
Description: partial 16S ribosomal RNA
Rfam family: Bacterial small subunit ribosomal RNA
Source: RNAcentral